This 253-nucleotide ribosomal RNA is filed under the name uncultured bacterium. Its description in RNAcentral is "partial 16S ribosomal RNA". It matches the Rfam family "Bacterial small subunit ribosomal RNA", at positions 524 to 776 of the family's 1533-position model. The record is from RNAcentral.
UACGUAGGGGGCAAGCGUUGUCCGGAUUUAUUGGGCGUAAAGCGCUCGCAGGUGGUUCGUCGCGUCGUGCGUGAAAGACCCCGGCUCAACUGGGGGAGGUCGUGCGAUACGGGCGAACUGGAGGCCAGUAGGGGGAUGCGGAAUUCCUGGUGUAGCGGUGAAAUGCGUAGAUAUCAGGAGGAACAUCGGUGGUGUAGACGGCUUUCUGGACCGUAACUGACGCUGAGACACGAAAGCGUGGGUAGCAAACAGG